UGCAGUCGAGCGCCCUUUCGGGGGAGCGGCGGACGGGUGAGUAACGCGUGGGAAUAUGCCCUUCUCUACGGAAUAGCCUCGGGAAACUGAGAGUAAUACCGUAUACGCCCUUUGGGGGAAAGAUUUAUCGGGGAAGGAUUAGCCCGCGUUGGAUUAGGUAGUUGGUGGGGUAAUGGCCUACCAAGCCGACGAUCCAUAGCUGGUUUGAGAGGAUGAUCAGCCACACUGGGACUGAGACACGGCCCAGACUCCUACGGGAGGCAGCAGUGGGGAAUCUUAGACAAUGGGGGCAACCCUGAUCUAGCCAUGCCGCGUGAGUGAUGAAGGCCUUAGGGUUGUAAAGCUCUUUCAGCUGGGAAGAUAAUGACGGUACCAGCAGAAGAAGCCCCGGCUAACUCCGUGCCAG
RNAcentral lists this ribosomal RNA (406 nucleotides) under uncultured bacterium. RNAcentral's name for it is "bacterial SSU rRNA". It matches the Rfam family "Bacterial small subunit ribosomal RNA", at positions 56 to 511 of the family's 1533-position model. The record is from RNAcentral.